UAUUAGGUUGGUGCAAAAGUAAUUGCGGUUUUUGACAUUGAAAUUGAAAGUAAUGGCCAAAACAGCAGUUACUUUGGCAUCAGCCUA
This 87-nucleotide microRNA precursor is filed under the name Pan paniscus (pygmy chimpanzee). Its description in RNAcentral is "miRNA (ENSPPAG00000009050.1)". The record is from RNAcentral. Lineage: Eukaryota; Metazoa; Chordata; Mammalia; Primates; Hominidae.